CAUCAUCUUCGUCACUAUCAUCGCUAUCAUCUUCAGAGUCAGAUGAGCUGCAAGUGAAUGACCUUCCUGUAGGUGGGAAACCGUUCAUUGUUGCUUCAGCCACCUCUACACCUUUCUCUGAAUGCAGAUCAGCUACACCAAGAAGCAAAUCCUACAAAAACAGAAUUAUUUGCCCAUUGAUUAGUACAAUUGAACUGUACCCCCAUGAUUUCGUUUUGAGCAGAUAAAUAUUAUUUGAUAUAUCACAAUGAUCUAUUUGUUUAUUUCAGAUUAUUGCUAAUAAUCUAGAUUAGCAUAUUCCUAAGUGGAAACAAACAGGACCUAAGACAAUCCAGUUUACCAUCUCAAUAUAUUCCUUCUCAUUUCCUGUAAGCGCUUCUAUAUCACACUCUUCAGGACGUUCAUACCCUUCAGGACGCUUAUUCUACAAAUAAAUUACAUAAAUUGUAGUUUAUUAACAGCAAAAACACCCAUCUAAUGUAAUAUCAGCUAGAAACAUACUUUUACAUCGAGCUGCAAUUUAUCGUUCGCCUUUGCCAUCUCUCCCAAGAAAUCUUUCGCUCUUCCAAGAACAGCCCUCCAUUACGACACCCAAAACAAACGCAAAAUUAGGUGAGCAAGGCAGAACAUCAUUCAACUCUAUGGGAACAAACAACCUGUUACACAGUAAAAGUUUCUUACCGUGAUCAGAGCAUUGUGUUUUUGACGGGUUAAGUGGGGUAAAAAAAUCAACAUGCCAGCACACUACUGACUUCUUUUCUCGAACAACAUAGCAUUGACUUGGAAAAAAAUCGACAUAUAUAUGUGUAAUCCAUCCAAAUUUGCUACCGGCCCGUUAUUUUCAGCCGCCCGUACUAUGGAUUAUAAAGGACAACACACCCUAAGAUUGCCAUUAAAGGACAAAACACUUGGGGCUGGUUCAAGUACGCCUCCAUGUAAUACUGGGCACACAGAUCGGCCAUAUCUUGCAAGGAUGCAUUUGAGAUGAUGUAUCAACGACCUGAGGGAGAGUGGGGAGCAGGGAGCGCUUGCCUGGAGUGAGCUUUCCUCGGACUUGAGGGGGUCGAGGAGAGGACGACCUUGGCGACAACGGGGUUAGCGUUAGCGCUGGCCAUAUUGGAGGGGGCUCUUGUUGAGCAUGUUCUCCCGCCGCCACCAUGCCACCACCGAAUCCACCACGUCCAUGCCGCCACCUCGGCCCACGUCUCCGGCGGAGUUAGGGGCGCUGUUUUGGGUGCUGUGGUCCGACUUCUCCAAGUCCGGCGACGUCUUGGCGCGUGAGUGAAGGCGCGGAGAGAACGGCGCUGUCUUUAGACCUGGAUCUCGCCUCGGACGCCCGGCGCGACGCCAUGCGAGGCGGAGAAGGAGGGGCGCUGGAGAACGGAGAGAGAACGCACCUGGCGGCGGCGGCAUCGGGGCGGAGAAGGAGUACGGGAACGCAUGAGAAGGAAGUGCAACCGCAAGUGGGCUGGGCUUCACGCAUUACCAAUCGUCCAUAUUAGAUCCGACGGCUGAGAUUUACGGGUGACGUGGCUCAACCACAGUUUACCAUUGGGUCUUAACUAUAUAGAAAGAAGGGAUAAGGGAGCAUGAUCUUCUUCGUAAAGAUUAUGGAAGCAUCAUUACUACAAGUCAUGAAGGAAAAAAUAAAAUAGUAUAAAAGUUAAUUGACAGGAGAUAAAGUGGUACAAAAGUUACUAAAUAGGUAAAGAAUAAAUUAAUGUAAUAUAAAAUUUGAUUGAUGAGAAAUGAAGUAUUGUCUUGUCAUCACCAAACCCCUUAUAUUGUGUGAUAAAUUUAAAUGGUAUAAUGUAACAUCUUGAGAUUUCCCUAAGCCAAGAGAUCAAAAUUUUAAAUGAAAUUAAAAGAAGUUGUUUUUUUUAGCCAAGGGUUAAUUUAGUAAAAGAAAUUAUUUAAUUAAUUCAACCCAAAGGACGUUAAUACAUGUUUUCGUGUUUGUCAUGUCAAAAUCAUUUUAUUGGACGUACAAUUGAAAUAUCAAAAAUAUCAGCUUAAAGUUUUAGCGAAUAAAAGUCGUUGAGAGUUAAUUUAAAGUCGACAACCUAUUCUUUUCACUUUUUUGUGUGUUAGUCGUGUCAAAAUCAUUUAACUUGAACACAAAUGUCAAAUCUUGGCAUGAAACCAACUUUCCUAUGGCUUAAAUUCAAAAUUAAAAUUGAAUUAAAUCGUCUUAAAUACUUCAGCCUUUUUUUACUGACAAUUAUAAAUUUACCAUAAGUUUCAAAUGUUCUCGUGACAUUUCUUAGAAAAUUGCAAAAAUUCUACUAAAUCUGUUAUUCCAGUGGCAUCCUUCCAUAUAGAAAAAUGAUCAUAAAUUUGCAAAAGCACCUUUUCUAUUUCAAAGAUGCCACCAUAUAAUAAUUAAUAGAGUCACCAAAGGGACUACAAUUGUACUUACUCUUAAUAAAAUCAUUAGUUUUGUAAUUAUUUUGUCAUCUUUCAUCCAAAAUCGACUACAUACUUUCAAGUAUGCAUGAAUGUAAAAAUUGAUAAUAUUGAAAUAUUAACCUGUGUGUUGCUAGUUUAUAAAAUUCAUACUUUUUAUAAUUGUGUGAAAUCACCUUUUUUUAAGGCAUGCAAUUAAGAUCACAUAUAUGUAUCUCAUUGUCAUACCCUGAGUUUUAUCCUAAGCCUAAAAUCAUAAAAGAAAUUGUUAAAUAACAAUUGGCUUAAUUAACUUAGAAAAAACCUCUCUAAAAGGAAUUAAUUUAAUUAAAUCCAAGUCCGAAAAUCAUUAACUGGAUUUAAAUUCAAAUUACAGAGUAUAAAAUUUCGCUCCAAAAGUUAACUUAAAAUUCGGCAAAAGCAGGGCUUUUCUUUUUCCUCAUUUUCCCUCCCUUUUUCUUUCUUUUUUCCUUCUUUCUCGAAUUGAGCCGAAGUCCAAUUUCCCCCCUUUUCUUCUUCUUUUCUUUUCCUUCUUUCAUCCUUCUUUUCCCUCCCGGGCCGGCCCAGUCGACCGGCCCACCACCCCUGCUCCCACGCUUGCCUNNNNNNNNNNNNNNNNNNNNNNNNNNNNNNNNNNNNNNNNNNNNNNNNNNNNNNNNNNNNNNNNNNNNNNNNNNNNNNNNNNNNNNNNNNNNNNNNNNNNNNNNNNNNNNNNNNNNNNNNNNNNNNNNNNNNNNNNNNNNNNNNNNNNNNNNNNNNNNNNNNNNNNNNNNNNNNNNNNNNNNNNNNNNNNNNNNNNNNNNNNNNNNNNNNNNNNNNNNNNNNNNNNNNNNNUCCGCUGGUCGCCGUCCAUCGCGCCCGAGCGCUGCCGCUCCUCUCUCUCCUGGCCGAACUCCCUCCCCACUCCUCUGUGCUAGACUGCUGCCGGGCGGGCCCGGGUUGUCAGCCGCCCGCCGGCCCCCCCCCCCCCCCCCCCCCCCCGCCAUCAUCUUCGCCUGGCCGUUGCCGACGCGCCCCCGCCAUCACCAGGGUGCACCCGCCCUUCGCCGCGUCACUGCCGUCUCCUCCCCGCGCCCGUCGGCCGACGUCCUCCCCACCGCACCGCCCGCCAAUUGCUGCCCUUUUACGGUCUGUGCUGCCUGGCAGUCGCCGCCCUCCGCUGCUCGCCACCGGUGCCAAAUCCCUCCCCUGCUCGGCCGAAGCCAUCUCCCCUCCUCUCUGUUCUGUGUGGCUGGCCAGUGGGGCCCGCAUGCCUGCCAGCCACUCCCCUCUCUCUCCCUUUCCUACGGGGCCCACCCGUCAGCCGCCACCCCUCCCUUCCUCUCUCCUCUCCUCCCCAGGCCCACAUGUCAUCCUCCCCUCGCCCCUCUAAAAUUCAUAACUAAUUCAUCGGGUCUCCGUUUAAGUCCAUUUAAAUUUCAUUAAAUUCAUAAAAUUGCCAAGAAUCCAUUAAGAAUACUUUCUUGUGUUGUUUCAGUAGAGUUUGUGUCUAUUUUAUUUAUUUUGCGUUUUGUUGCUUAGAUUUGAAGCCCGUCGACGCACCGAUUUACUUCGAAAUCGUCGCCGAAGUAUCCCAGGGACCAGAAAAAGGCAAGUGGCAUUCAUCUUUGAUCAUAUUGAGCCUACUAUUGCAAAAUCUCUGCUUUAUUUAUUCAAACGUGCAUUAUUUCAAUUAAAGUAUUUAUUGUAUUAACUUUUUGGGUUACCUAUUAUUAUGCUGUUGUUUAUCCAUUUUGAUUCAUGUUACACCAUGGGUAAUUUAAAUAGAGAUUAGGCCUGGGUUUAAUGCUUAGCCGUGCUUAGAACUAGUAGCUCAUGGGAUCACACAUUAAUCAUUGCUAGUCAUGAAUAGUUGUUGAUGAUCAUUUAAUAUCCGAUACAUGUUAAUGCCAACUAAAAUAUUGAUAAUGGUGGGUUGUGGGUGCAUGGUUUCGAAAGUCGCACCCAUAACAAUUAAGGACCGGUUCAUAGAAAACCCUGGAAGUUAUUUCCGUACUAACCACAAGCCAGAAUGGGCAACGGUAGGAUUUGAAGUGUAAUUUUAAAGUAUUCGACGUACCCAGGCAAGGAUGAGCGUGAUGGAGUAUGGAUGGGAGUCGUGGUUUAACGAUGGCCUAUGCUGCUUUCGGAUUCGCCUAGGCAUAAGAGGGGAUUGUCCAACUUGGUGUAAAGGAGGGGGCGAAACCUGAGGUAUGGUGCGAUUGAAUAGGGAGGGUUAUGCGAUGGGUCCUAUUGUAGUUUCCUAUCUGAUAUGCCAUGGUGGUAUGUCGGCGCACGUUCAAGUAUAGUGGGACUAUAUCUUGUGGGUAUAUUAGUACACUAGAGUAGACCUAUUCGAAUAGCCAUGCCCACGGUUAAGGGCGAGCUGCCAGAUUCACUGUGAUUAGUCUAACCUUUAAUGACUUGGGUAAACUGGCUUUCACUUGGGACUACUGCAACGUGGUGUAACGUUGAGUAGCGGUUGUACCUGCUGCAACAUGGUGUAACGUUGGACAGAGAUGUGGUAUUUUACAAUUGUUAUUUACUUAUUUACUCUUUUAUUUACUUAUCUACCUUUAUUUGGUUUAAUCCCUAUUGUUUAUUAAAUGUUGCUUUAUUGCAACUAACCUUAGUCUAUCUUUGAUGAUUCUUUGCAUCAUUUAUUACUCUCCUUUUCCGUGCUACAUGUUAAGUACGGUGGUUUGUACUCAGCCUGGCGUAAUUUCCCCCUUCAGAGCUGGAAGUUGAAUCUGAUGGAGGUGACUCUCAGGAGUAGGCUGUCCGUCGCCGAAGUUUGCCUAUGGACAAUAGCCAUGCCCGCUGGAGCUAGUUUGCAUUAUCUUUCCGCUGCAUUUUCGUUAGAUUAAUGUUAUUAUUUCAGUUGUUUCUAAGAACGAUGGUUAUGUAAUCAACAUUGUCUUUUUAUGUACCCUGACUGGUUCUGUACAGGGAUUUUUAAUACACAAUUAAGUUCAGAAAUUCGUGUGAGGAAUUUCUGAGCGUGACACUCAUUUAAGUACUAGAAAAAACUAAUUUAAUAUUCUAUUUUUAAAUUUGUGUCAUUGCCUUUUGUGAUCCGUUCGUCUUAUGAAAAAUAUAAUUAUUAAUUAUUUUAUUGCGAUGGAUUUAUUUCUAUAUGCACUUUAAGUAUGACAUAAUAUACAAAUCAAUGACAUUAAAUAGAAAAAUAAAAGAGGAAGUAUAUACUUAUCUUAGCUUUAGAAACGUUGACCAAACAGGAACAUGCGUACGUGUUUCCAACAUAACGCGUGCUUUUGCGAGAUAUUAUAGGGUUUAAUUUAGGGAUUGAGAUCGGGUGCACCCGUAGCAACCACUGCACCACAGGAUAUAAGCCUGCUAUAUGUUUAUGUGGAGGAGAGAGAGGAUGUGGGGCAUAUGAACCAAAAAACUCAGUAAGAGUGGUAUAUGGGUGGACUUAAAGAAGGCUAUAAGAAAUCUUAUAGCUAGCUUGUUGGCUAUAUUAUUAGUCAUUUAUUUUAGUAAUCAACUGUGCACAAUUAACUUUACAGUAAUAUUUACACAAUAGUAGCAUGAAAUGAACCCAUGAAUAGUAGGGGCUGAUUGCUAAAUGCCACAGUCAUAAAUGAAAAUUAAUUUAUGAUAAAAAAAUUAUAUAUAUAUAUAUUCUUAGCGGUUUUUAAAUCAAUGAUAAAAUAAACUUGAUAGCAACCCUAAAAUCAACUCCAAAUUAUUCUACCUGACUUUUGUGGUAAUCGAGCUCAUAUGCUAAAACUAUAAUUAAUACUCCUAAAUUUUUUUUAUUUGAUAUCGUUGACUUUUGUAUAUACGUUUGACUUCUCAUUUUAUUAAAAAUUUUAUAUAAAUACGUUAAAUUAUAAGUUAUAUUUAAAAUUAAAUUAUAACAAAAAUAGCUAACAAAAAAAUUAACGGCCUCCAUAAAAACAAUGGAAUACUUCAACUACGCCGGAUCUGGAUGGCGGGUCUUAAGACCCAUACAAGUGCGCACACAUAUGCAUGUCAUGCUCAUAUCCGCCGACCCAUAACAGAUAUACAUAUAUAGUUAUACACUACGUAGUUACGGUAUUUCGGUUAUAAUUUUUGUUGGCCGGUUGACAAUAAUUUUUAGUGAGCAGAAAUACGAAUGGUCAUUUGAGAGGAGGAGCGUCGGAUACGAGACCAUUUUUACGAAGUCCAUGGUUUGAAGACCAUUAAACCCGCUUCUUUUCGUGGCCUAAAUAGUAAGAUGGUAUUUGGGACAAGAGGCUAAACUUUAUCCUUUUGUCUCAUCAAAUGUUUAGAUACUUAUUAUAAAUAACAAACAUAGACUAUUAAUAAAACAUAUCUAUAAUCUUGGACUAACUCGUGAGACGAAUCUAUUGAGCCCAAUUAAUCCAUGAUUAACAUACGUGAUGCUACUGUAAAUAUGCUCUAAUUAUGGAUUAAUUAUACUUAAAAAAAUUAUCUCGCGGAUUAGCUCUUAUUUAUUAAAUUAACUUCAUGUCACAUCGGAUAUUUGGACAUUAAUUUGAAGUAUUAAAUAUAGACACUAACAUGAAGUUAAAAAGUUUAGCCUAAUCUGAAACAACCCCUAAAUUGCGCAACAGUACUAGAUGCAUGUCAACGUGGCAAGCAACACAUGGAAUACGUGUGCAGUACUACGACGGUUUGGAUCUGUAUAUAAUUUUAUUUACAAUGUGCGAGCAACAAAUUUAUUUUAUAAACAUAUAUACGCUCCACAAAUAAACUACUUAAUCCAUAAAUUGACCCCAAAAUAAACAGGUUGAAGCAUUUGCCCAAAACUAGUACGAUUGCGGAACUGAUAAUAGCCAGUUCAAGCCAUAAACUGACAGUGGUGCUAUAGUUUGAAAUUCAUUUUUAGACCUGAAAAAUGUUCUAAUUAAAUUGCCUACCAAUUGGUUUAUAUUACAAGUCGUUUUAUGUUUACCUUAGGUCAGAUCUUUUUAAUUUGACCACAUUUAUAACAUAAUACAGUAACAUUUUCAAUACAAAAUAAAUGUGUUGUAAAAAAAUUCAAUCGUGGUUUUAUUUAAACUAAUUAAGUAUCAUAAAUAUUAGGAUUUUUUCCGUAAAUUUGGUUAAAUUUAAAGCCAGUUGACUUUAGAUCAAUUGAUAUAUGUGUAUAUGACUGUGUGUACAUACAUGUGUAUGAUUCUGCCGUAGCCUUCUUGCGUAUAUAUAAUCGAUCAAUUGAUGUGUGUAUGUAUAUGAUGCGAUGAAUGAUUGGCCAACCGGCCACGUCUAUCCAUGCAUGAGACCUCCAAUUCAGUUAGUGCACCGACCGCCGGUACGUCCAAUUGACAAGAAAAAAAAAUACAGUACUAAUUGAAAAAAAAAAACCAUCACCAACUGGCAACUGCCAAGGGAUACGACAAUUUAUUGUCGACCAUACAUCAGUGACUAACUGCAACCUUCUCUGUUCAUAAACUAUCUUCUUUUAUUUAGUGGGACAGUAGGUUACUGUAGUCAUCUUAAAAACCACAUGGCAAGUGUUAAAAAUCAAUUAAAUAUCUGCAGGAAACUCAAAUUCUAACCGAAAUCCAUGGCUCGCCAGUGGCCAGGAAUAGAUCAAACUGAGGCGCUAUAUUGUUGUGCUAUUCAACAUAUAUCAUGUGGACUCUAAUUGAAUAAUUAACUGUUACUGAAAAUAGCUGCAAUACUACAUCAUAAGUCUGAAGUCUCUCUUUGUCAUUGACAUUGACAAUCUGCUUUAGUGUAACAACUAGUAAGUAGGAUGAAACGGUCUUUCUUUUGUUAUUAAAAAGUUACUAUUUAUGUCAAAUGAUAAACAACGCUAUAUUUUUGAUAGAGAUAUGACCUGAAUUUUAACAUGCAGUGUAUUUGGGUUAUGAUAUUAGUUUUCUAAUAUGAUUAUUAGCCUUUUUCUAUUAGUAAUCAAAAGUUUCCUAACAAGGCUUGUAGUAUCUUCAUAUCAAGAACUCUUAGAUUUUUCCUUUAUAUUAGAACUAUUAUAUCUUUUCUUUAUAUAUCUCUUGUAAGUUAUUUAAAAAGGGUACGUCGAUCUGUUGUAUUAUCGUGUGUUAUAAUCAUCUUCUCACAGCGGUGGUUGUCAGUUGACGCUUAUGUUUUUUGACUUUUCUAGUAAGGGUUUCUAUAUAAAAUUUUGUGUCCGUUAUGCUGUAUUAUUCUAACAAGUUGUAUGAGAGCUCUAGAAUUCAUCUACCACCGGCGUUUAUUGUCAAAUUGAUCUCGCUGAAAGGCGAGUUGGCAGAGGUGUGCUUCAUCUAGUUGUUGUUUCGUUGAACAAUCUUGACGAGUUGGAGAACACCAACGGGGCGACUGUUUGGCUUUUUCAGCCAUAUUUGUAAACUAAAAAUAAUUUAUAAAUAAAAUUUAUUAUGCGUGUUCUCAGCGAGCUAAAAGUCAAAGACAAAAAAUAAUUACAAUUAAAAACACUAAAAUCAAAUUCAAACAUAAGGGUGACAAUAUAACUUUUAGCUUACAAACAUAAAUAAAAACAAAAAGAUUGGUGCUAAAUCCAAAAGCCAAGCCGACUGCUCAUACAUAUAGCUGUUUGGAGUUCAAGCGCUGCAAUAUUGAAGCACACAGUGCGUCCUACGGCGCCUUCGUUUCAUGCCUACUAAAUUAACAUACCCCUCCGCGGAAAACGAUUAGUACAUGAUAAUUAAUUAUUAAUUAUUAAAAAAAUAUAAAAUAUAUUAAUAUGAAUUUUUAAAACAACUUUUCUAUAGAAAAUUUUUUAAAAAAUAUAUCAUUUAGCAGUUCGGAAAACGUACCUGUAAAAAAACGAGGGAGAUAAGUCUAGCCGAACGCGGCCCUACACGUCGAGUGGCAGGGCAUCAACCAUCCACCUCCGAGGCCGAGCGCGCGUUCACCGACGCUUACAUUAAUCCUGCUAGUCACUUUUGAAUAUUUCCCGUGGAAAUUGCUAUGGGCACAUGCAAUUUGUACAGGACGAUUUUGAAUGUUUCAUAUUUUUUUUGGUUUACACUUUCUUUUCUCCAACAUGUUUACCACUGAAUUUGAGAUUGAGAAGUUGAAUGUCAAGAUCCAUUUGAGCAUAUAUUGUUCUAAUAUAAAUCGAUGUUUAUAAGGACAAAGCAAUUCACCGAGGAUGGUUCAUGGACUAGGACUAGGUGGGAUAAGUUGGAUUCAUCCCAUUUUGCAGCAGAAUGAGUUGGUUCCAUUUUCUUUUGAGAAAAUUCUCUAGUACCGCUGAAAUUUUGCUACAUCCCUCAAUACCCCUCAAUUUUACCUCAUCCCUUAUAUACUCAUGAGUUUUCAUUUUAAUCAUCUCUAUACCCAUAUCCGUUAGUUGACCAUUAGUUGAUAGUUAAAUAUUUUAAAAUGACUAUAUUACCCCUCCUAUAAAUAUGUGUUACCUACCCAAUAAAUUUUCAUAUGAAAAAAUAACUUAUACUAAAAUAUAAGCGAUAUAAUCAUUUAACACCCAACUUAAAAAAUAUUUUUUUAAAAAAUAAUAUGAUUAAAUCCAUACAUUAGUUUCACCAAAAAAUUAAGUAAAACUAAAUGUUAUCUAGGUUUAAAUUUUUGGGAAUAUAUACAAAAUUCAUGAAAUUUGAUCUAAAAUUUAUUUAAAAAAUUUAAAUAUGUUUCUAAUUUUUGAUAAACUAAUUACAUCCCCUUUAUUUUUUCACAAUGUAUCUUUUUCACCACAUAUUUGUUGAAAAGUAAUUUCUACCAAAACUAACAAUCAAACUAAUGGUCAACUAACGGAAUGGGUAUGUAAAGGAUCCAAAUAAAAACUCAAGGGUAUAUAAGAGAUCAAACAAAUUUUAGGGGCGUAGAAGGGAUUGGGUGAAAUUACAGGGCCACGUAGGGAAUUGGCCCUUUACUUUUUGGUUGGACAGAUAUGUUAAACCAUGUUUUUUUUGGUUGGAGGAUGUGUUGAACCAUGUUUUUUGUUUGGUUGGAGGGAUGAGAUGGGAUAGAGUGAACUAAUCAUUUGUUGGUUUGAGGAACGAAUGUGGGAUGGUUGGAUGUGAUUACCUCUAUACAUUGAGUUGCUGAGGUUACCUCUAAUAUUCAAAUGAUAUAUUGAAUACUACAAUUAAUAUAUGAAUAAUCUAAAGUAAUUAAAUGUAUAGUUAUAUAUUUAAAAUAUUUUAAAUAAUUUUAAUAAAAUAAAAUGGACAUUUCCCAAAAAUUAUCACAUAUGCACAUGUCGUGCAACAUGCUUGAUCUUAAUUUGUGUUUUAUCAUAAAUAAAUUCACUGGUUAAACAACAUCAAAUGAUGUAUCAACUAACAAUAUAAAAAAUAUAGCAUCGCCGAAUCGUCCUAGGAUAUAUCUGUCUCACCGUUUUGGUGGAAUGGGUUGGACCUGGAUCUAAGUGGAAUAUUUCACUUCUAGGUCCAACCCAUCCCACCUAUCCACCAACAAAACAAGGUCAAGGAUGGGUUGGUUCAGUCCCAACCCAUCUCACCCUUUGAACCAAACACAUCAUAACCAUUCCAAUUGAUUACUUUGAUUAAAUUGUUUUGGGCGUAAAUUAGCUACAUAUACUUGUUGGUUAAUUUAUUGGCUUAGCUAAUAAUUAGGAGAGAUAUAAAAACCACCUAAUAUCUAUCCAUAACCGAAUUGUAACAAAUUUGGAGUCCUAUAGUUGUUUACCGUGAUCGGUGGAAUAAGUUAGAAGUGGAUAAGGAGAAGCCUCCGAGACCCACCAAUACGCUAUAAAAAAUGAAGAAGGCAUACGGCAAUGCUCGUGUGGCAAUUACGUACUCAAAAAUCAUUUUCCUUCUCUAUCGAUCAAGAGAUGCACUGGAAGGACUUCGUGAGGUAAUCCCAAGGCAGUGCCUUUGGUGACCCAAAGGUCGAAGACAGAGAACAUAUCACUGGUCCUCUAAUAUUGCCGGAGACAAAGAAGAGAAGACAUAAAUCAGAAGAGAAGACACUUAUGGCCUUAUUCAUAGGUCUAUAUUUUAUUUUUCCGUAUCUAAAUGAAUUGGUGACCAUAUAUAGACUAGGAUUUUAACUUCUUUAAUCUAUUUAAUAGAUGUAAUUAAACUCCAACACUACCCAAACACACGUACCAUGAUUUUAUCACAUCUCCGCUCGGUGCACAAAUAAGUGUCACAUUUCACAUUUUCUACUAGUGUUAUACAAACUCAUUCUGGCAGUUUCAAGAUUAUAUCCCAUGGUUAGUUUGAAGUAUGACUCAUUGCUCCAAUUUCGGUCAGGGUAUUGCAGUGGAACUACUAUAAGCACAUAACAAACAUAUUAUGAGGUUUAUCAAGAGAUUAAAGUAUUUCAUUUUGGUAAACAUAAGUGUACUAUGGUUUGCAUCUCUGUUGGAUUCCACUAGUUUAUACCAGUAGAUUAAGGAAUUAAUUUCCAUAGCGAGUUUGAAGUAUGCUUUACUGCUCCUGUUUAAAACAUAUGAGAUUCUUGUUGUACUAAAGCUUGAUUAGUGUUUAUUAUAGUCCAAAACACUAUUUGCCACAAGAUGAUUUUAUCUACAUUAGGUUUCUUAUGAUUUUUAUGCUACAAGAGAAUUCAUCUUAAGGUGGAUAUUAUUAGAGACAUGAUCUGAUUUAUAAUAUGCAAUGUUUUGGGUUUAUGAUAUUAGUUUUCUAAUAUGAUUUCUAGUCUAUCUCUUUUAGAACUCUUAGAGUUUUCUAAUAAGACUCGUAGUCUUUUUCUAUUAUGCUAUUAUAUUUUCUCCGUAUAUAUCUCUACAAACCUACACACCAAUGGUACAACGGUCCAUUAUAUCCUCUUACGUUGUGACCAGUGGUUGUUUUCGGUCAGCACUCAUGGUUUUUCAAGGGUUUUCAUGUAAAUUUUCGUUUCUCUGUUGUGCAUCUAUUUUUUGAACAAUAUUACAUAUAUGUGUAUGUGUGUGUGAAUUUUGCUAGAAUGAGUCAUGACUCCAUAUUUUGCAUGCAAUAAGAUUUUGAUAUAAAAAGUUUAUUGAGCCAUAUAAAUCUAAAUUCCGAGGUGAUUUGAUUUAUUUUUUAAAUCAUGACGGAGCCGUCUGUGAGUCAUGACUCAUGGUAGCAUAACUCUCUACAGUACCUAUGCAAUGCAUAUUUACUUGAAAUUUUUUAUUUUAUACAAUGCCUACAAAAUUUACUUAUUAAUUUGUUAGUAUCAAUUGUUGGCUUAAAUUUUCUGCAGUUUGAAUAAUAUUGUCCUAGAUAUACUAAAUUUACAUUAGAUUUGAAUAAGGUGGGUUUCUAUAUAUGAAACCCAUUGGCCAUAAAACUCAGUUUUGUAUAAAUUAACAUGGGGCUAUCUAAAAUUAACUACUAUUUACAUACUACCUCAAAUUUUUUUAUUUGACACAAUUGACUUUUAGAUCAACGAUUGACCGUUCAUCUUAUUCAAAAAUUUUGUGCAAAUAUACAAAAGUGUAAUUCUUAAAUUUUAUUUAGUAAUAAAACAAAUCAUAGCAAAACAAAUAAUAACAUAUAAUUUUUUAAUAAGACGGAUGGAUAAAAAAAGUUAACGGUGUUAAAUAAAGAAACUGGAGAGAGUAAUUUGUAGGAAACUAUAAGAAUUAUAAAACGAGCAAUUCCAACGAUCUAGAAAUUAAGCAUUACGUAGUACUCCCUACUUCCCUAAAUAUUUAACGUUGUUGACUUUUUAUACAUGUUUGACUAUUCGUCUUAUUCAAAAAAUUUAUACAGUUAUUAAUUAUUUUUAUAUUAUUUCAUUUAUUGUCAAAUAUACUUUUAUACAUAUAUAUAACUUUAUAUAUUUGACAAAAAGUUUUAAAUAAGACGAAUUAUCAAAUGUUUAUAAAAAAGUCAAUGCCGUCAAACCCUGAGGAACGGAUGUAGUACAGUAUAACAGCGGCAAAACCAAGCCUAAGUCACCCAUUUGGGAAUUUUUUGGACGGUGGUGUGCGGUAAUCCGAUCGGAUGCUCAAACUGUGGUGUGUUGAUAUGAUAUGAUCUGCAAGCAUCAACCCUCCCACCCCUAUUUAUUUUAUAUAUGUUUGUUAAGAGACACAGUAAUUACUAGUAUUUUGUUAAGAGCAGGAAAAGAGCAAUUUGUUGAAUUUUAAUUUUAUUUAUUAAAUAAUUUACAAAUUUAAUUUUGCAUUUCAAAAAAUUACAAAACUAACCUCCUGCCGCCCUCUAGGAGGGCGCAAAGGUAAUAUGGCAAACGGCCACUCGGUUGUGACGAACGGCUGCCACCCUUUGAACCGCGGUUAGAUACGUAUAUGUAUAACGUAUGUAAUUAUUAGAACAUAAAUAGUUCUUUGGCUCAGUAGUUACUAUCUCUCUUCUAUUUAGGUGAAAAAGGUCAAAUCCUCACAAGAGCAUAUUUUCUUUCUAUUUUUGCCAGCCCAAGAAAAAAUCAAAUAAAAUAUACCGGUUAGUCUCCAAGAUAGAAGAAUAGGUCAAUGACCACUGACCUAUGAUAAUAAUUUUGAUCAAACAAUUACAUUGUACAUAUACGUAUCUAACUGUAGUUCGAUCAAAAAAUUCUCGUUUUAAUAGAAAAAUUCCUGGGCCGCAUGGCAAAUUUUGCAUGACAGGAGGUUAGUUUUGUGAUUCUUUAAAAUACAAAAUUAAAUUGGCAAAUUAUUUAAUAAAUAAAAUUCAAAAUUCAAAAAAUUCGGAAAAAAGAGCAGUAAAUUAAGAAAGAGUGGGCCGCAUGAAAUGAGUUGGGUUUGUUAACGAUGGACCUGGACUUGGGGAUGCGUGCGUCGUCUUUUGGGCCCGAUCGUCAAAGCACAACCUAAAGUAAGGGUGUGUUAGUUUGAAAAAACAAAUUUUUUUCGGUUGACCGAAAAUGUGGGAAGGAGUUUUUAGACACGAAUAAAAAAAAAAAUUUCAUGGCCCGUCUGUAAACCGCAAGGCGAACCUUUUAAGCCUAAUUAAUAACUCAAAAAUUCGUCUCACGAGUUUCCCAUUAUUGUGUAAUUAGUUUUAAUGUUCAUAUAUAUUUAACGAUUUAUUAGAUGUCCAAAGAUUCGAUGUGAUAUUUUUGGAAAAAGUUUUUUUAGCUUAUAUGAGAAAUGAAGAUAUAUAUAUUAUGAUCAUCAAAUGCAAGCAGCUUGUUAGCCUACUGCACAUGCAUGCAUGCUACAUGCAGCUUACUUAGAAGCAAGUUGCAGAAGAGUAUUUAUUUAAUGCCUGCCUGCCUGCCUAGUUAGUGUUGAUUAAUAGGCUAAGAUACGAUCGAUCGAUAAUGGAAUAAUGAGAUUCUCCAGCAAAGUCAACAGUAUGAACCGGGUGGAUGGAUGAAUGCAUGGACCUAGCAUGCAGCUAACUUAACCUCUGAUCAGCUUAUAUUAUCACAAAUUAAAGGAAUUUUCGAAUUUUAAUUUCUAGGGAGAUCGCCUCCUUAUUUGGAAAUAAAUGAAGACGUUGACCUUUUGGCACACCUUUAACUAUUUUCUUUAUCCAAAAUUUUUUUGCAAAUAUACAAAAUAUAUGCCAUAAUUAAAAUAUAUUUUUAAUAGAUAACCUCGUUGACUUUUAUGGAUAAGCCAAUAAUAUUGGUUGUGAAUGAUAAGCCAAUAAUAAAAUGAUGAGCAGCUUAAUUAGGUUUGAGACAAGAGUCACCUAGCAUCCCAUUGUGUGGACAAAUAUGUGGUUCGUUUUCUUGGUUCACGGUUUGCAACUAUGGUUGGCAAUGCGGGGUGGGCCAAAGCUAGGUUGGGCAAGAACGGCUAUGGUCCCAACCCCGAACUUCAUCCUAGGCCUUGAUCCCGAAGGAUCCCCUAACUUGGACGGGGCCCUGACGCCUCCGAGGAAAGUUGCACAUAGAGAAGAUGAGGUACUCACUGCCCGGCUGUGUCGCCACCACCUAUGCCUGGUCAAUGAGAGGGAGAGGGAUAGAGUGAGGCCGCUGUGCAGACCCGUUGUCACCGCUAGCUGGUCGAGUGACAGGGAGAGAAAGAGAGUGAGGGGGUAGAUAGGGUUUGAUUAGGUUUUUAGUGGGCUUUUGCUUUUGGACCAUAAGGGAUUUAAAAGUCUAAUAUAUAUCCCAAGUCCCCAAAGGUUCCCUGCGGGUUGAACCAUUCCCUGUCCCUAUCUCCGCCGGGUCCCAGGGCCCUAGCCCUGAAUCCCCGCGGGGCCAUUUUGUCCCCCGCACUCGUGGAAGAAAUUAUCAACCAUAUUUGCAAUUAAUUCUGACCGUUAUGCCCCAAUCCAUCUAAAUUCUAGUACCUGAAAAGAAUGUAACCAACCCAAUUGGUCCACAUCAUGUCAUAAUUUUAAUUUCCACCAAUUAUGGUAAAGGAAUUGGUUGCUUAACACAACUAGUAGAGUUUUAAAAAUUUAAUCACUGUCAAACCCUUUAGAUCCUCUCAAUACGAUUAUCAUCAGAUGAUAUUUUUCGAGAAUCUUUUGCACAAAUCUAUGGCAACUUUGCACAAAACAACCAAAGACCACAAAUUUCUUCUUUAAUUGCAUUUUUUGCAAUUAGCCCACCAUUCGUUUAUGAUUUUCUUUUUGCAAACAGGCACUCAUAAUUUGAUAAAUUUCACCCUUAAGCCCUCAUUAAGGCCCCAAGAAUUUCCUAGAACCUUCUAAAACCCACCAAAGCUAAUUUCAUCUAAACUUAGUUUCUAGAACUUUCCAAAAGCUAAAAAAACGUUUAGCCCCCAUUGUUUUCACCUCCAAAACCAUUGGCAUACAUUUCAAGUAUUUAAGUUUAGUCAUCCAUAUCAAAGAAGAUAGUAAAAUAGAGUAGAAGGAAGUAGAGGCAUGUGUAAGCCUGAUCCGGGCUGGCUGAGGGCCGCAGCAGCAUGUGUGACCACCCACAGGCCCAGUUGGGAGGGGGUCCAACCGAACUUAUAUUUAUAUGUUCAUGUGGUUUGAUUUUUAUUUAUUUAUUAAAAAUAGAUGAUUAAUCAAUAUUUGAAUGCUAAUUGAUGAUAUUAGUUAAGGUUAGUAGCUCUAUCAUUUACUUGUUGGCUUCAUAGUUGUAGCCAAAAUUCGAAGUUUCAAAUUCAAUAUUAGAUUUGGUUUUAAGGUGCUCUUGUUGUAAUUUAAUUUUUCUAGCAUUGUUUUUUAAACUGCUAAGAACAGAAAUAAAAAUAGUUUUAGUCAUAAAUUAUUAUUUUGUUUGUUUCAUUGUUUCUUCAUGUUCAUUAUUUUAGUUGUCAAUUUAGUAUCAAAGUUAUUUAUCGAAAACGAGAAUAGAGACAUUGCAAGUUUACUCUUAAGGUUAAGACAUGGUGUAUCAUGUUAGCUACUGAUAUUUAUUUGUGUCAGAUUAGAGGAUAAAUGGUUAUAAAGUAUAUAUUGCAUGUAAAAAAAUAUUUGACCUAAAGAGCUCAUGACACCGAGUUUAAUUACCAAAGAUUCUCAAAAUUAUAUGACCGGCCCGCUUAUACUUAUCCCAACUAGAGUUUAGUGUUUAGGGAAAAGGUCAGAGCGCAUAUAUAUAACCGGUUUGCUGGUAUACCGCAGCUUUUGUUUUGCCACUUCCGUAUAUAAUGGAUCAAUACUUGAUUUUCUAAAAAUAAACACAAAAUGACAUAGGAUGCAUGGAUCGCCUUUGACUUGUACGUACGUGAGUAUGAACAACUCCAUAUAGUAUUAAAUAAAUUAAUGUAUACGUACGUGCAUGUGUGGCUGACCGACAAUAUUACUGAGAUCGAUGCCCGUCUAGGCCUAGUCCAUGUAUCAAGUCAAGUCAGCUCCAUGCUCUAGCUAAUUCUGAGUAAUUUACUAGUACUCCCCCAUUUUUUUAAUCGACACGGUUUUGACUUUUAGAUUUACUUUUGACACUCUAUCUUAUUUAAAAAUUUUGUGCAAAUAUAUAAAAUUAUAAAUCAUGAUUAAAGUUAUUUUAGUAAUAAAUCAAAUCAUAACAAAAUAAUUUAUAAUAAUUAUUUUUUAUAAGAAGAAUGGUCAGACGUAGAUUCAAAAGUCAAUUCCGUCAAUUAAAAAAAGAUGGAGUAGUAUUUUAUUAUUGUAGACAAAAACUCCUCUUUCUCGAUAUAAGUCAUUGACUUGCUACACAAUUCUACUCAUUUUAGUUGAAUGUUGCUGUUCUUGUAAUAGACUACACAGAAAAAGUAACCAUGUGUUUGCUAUGAAAAAAUUGUAUUAUAAAAUGCUACGUAAGGGGUAUGACAGGUAUAAGGUGAUUUGCAUUAUAGCUAGCCAUUUGUUCUUAGAGCGCUGUAUCAUUUAUAUGUUUGAUAAAAGAACUAUCAUCCAAAGGUAAGAAACAGUUAUUUUGUAAUUAUAUUUCUUCUCAUAAAACAAGUUGAUUCUAGCUUCUACGCAAAGUUAAUUAAACUUCAUUCUGGUUCACCAUAAAGGAAUAUUUUUAUUUCCAUAUAUAUAAGCCUGUUUACUUUAGUGAACUAUAAAAUUUGUGAGCUUACCAACCGAGGGAACAUCAUUAUUGUGUUGAUAAAAUUGUAUGACUCUAUCUAUCUACCAGAGUUUAAACUCUAAGCCUAUAAAAAUGAUGUGCAUGAAUGAUGUGGAUAGAUACUUAUAGAUGAAGGACAAAUUAACCCCAUGAACACGGAGCAAGGAAUAUGUGUGUGUGUGUAAUUUUAUAUAUUUAUAUAUUGAUGGUGGGCUGUUACCAUUUUUGUGGGCUCUCUUUCGAUUGGAACAAUGUAUGGCCAGAAAUACAUGCAUGCAUGUGGGCUGAGAGAAAUAAAAGGCCCAUAGAUUGGAAUUAGGGGACUAUGAAUGUGUUAUGCCUUUUGGCUACCUGCAUUCUCAUUAUUAUACAUCUAAUCCUAGGCCCACACAGGGAGAAGCGAAACAUAAUGCUCUUUUUUUAUUAUUUUUUUAGAGAAUGGUAUUUUUAACCAGCCUCUAUAUCCACUCGGAUAUAUGUAGCUAUUUUUUUUAUUUCAGAAACUCUGGGAACUUAGCCCAAGUAAGGAUCUAGCCCCUCAAAUACCUAAUUUGAAAUUCAUACCCCUCAAAUACCCAAUUUGAAAUUCAUACUUCUAUGGAGAUUUGAACCCUGGACCUUGAAUGUUACUCAGGUCACUGUAACCACUAGGCUGCAUGCCCUUUCA
This 18349-nucleotide long non-coding RNA is filed under the name Oryza brachyantha (malo sina). RNAcentral's name for it is "long non-coding RNA (OBRA_LNC000994)". Lineage: Eukaryota; Viridiplantae; Streptophyta; Magnoliopsida; Poales; Poaceae. The record is from RNAcentral.